RNAcentral lists this transfer RNA (96 nucleotides) under Armillaria novae-zelandiae. Its description in RNAcentral is "tRNA-Val". Lineage: Eukaryota; Fungi; Basidiomycota; Agaricomycetes; Agaricales; Physalacriaceae. The record is from RNAcentral.
GGGUCGAUGGCGUAGCUGGUUAUCGCAUCUGUCUAACACCGUGCGGUCUCGUAUAAUGUUCACAGAAGGUCCUCAGUUCGAACCUGGGUCGACUCA